This 477-nucleotide ribosomal RNA is filed under the name uncultured Campylobacterota bacterium. RNAcentral describes it as "bacterial SSU rRNA". It matches the Rfam family "Bacterial small subunit ribosomal RNA", at positions 74 to 572 of the family's 1533-position model. The record is from RNAcentral. Lineage: Bacteria; Pseudomonadati; Campylobacterota.
CCUAGCUUGCUAGGUGGAUUAGUGGCGCACGGGUGAGUAAUAUAUAGAUAACGUGCCUCUUAGUCUGGGAUAGCCAUUGGAAACGAUGAUUAAUACUAGAUAUUCCUUCUAACAAUAAUGUUAGUCGGGAAAGUUUUUCGCUAAGAGAUCGGUCUAUAUCCCAUCAGCUAGUUGGUAGUGUAGGAGACUACCAAGGCAAUGACGGGUAGCGGGUUUGAGAGGAUGAUCCGCCACACUGGUACUGAGACACGGACCAGACUCCUACGGGAGGCAGCAGUGAGGAAUAUUGCACAAUGGAGGAAACUCUGAUGCAGCAACGCCGCGUGGAGGAUGACGCAUUUCGGUGUGUAAACUCCUUUUAUAUGUCAAGAAAAUGACGGUAGCAUAUGAAUAAGCACCGGCUAACUCCGUGCCAGCAGCCGCGGUAAUACGGAGGGUGCAAGCGUUAUUCGGAAUCACUGGGCGUAAAGGACGCGU